UGAGGAAGGUGUUCCAAGUUCUACGUGAGAAUGAGCUAUAUGUGAAAAAGGAGAAAUGCUCAUUCGCACAAUCGGAGGUGAUGUUCUUGGGCCACCGUAUUGCUGGGGGAACCAUCAGCAUGGACACAGCCAAGGUACGUGCUAUUUACGAUUGGGAGCCUCCUUCCAAUGUCUCGGGUUUGCGUUCUUUCCUUGGCUUGGUCAAUUACUACCGACGGUUUAUCCAAGGGUACUCCAAGAGGGCUACUCCUUUGACAAACUUGCUUAAGAAAAAUGUCCCUUGGGUGUGGGACACUGUGUGCCAGCAUGCGUUUGAGGAUCUUAAGCAAGCUGUGAUGGAGGAACCAGUGCUGGUGUUGCCUGAUUUCUCUAAGCCCUUUGAAGUC
RNAcentral lists this unclassified non-coding RNA (386 nucleotides) under Hevea brasiliensis (rubber tree). Lineage: Eukaryota; Viridiplantae; Streptophyta; Magnoliopsida; Malpighiales; Euphorbiaceae. The record is from RNAcentral.